RNAcentral lists this ribosomal RNA (16 nucleotides) under Pseudogymnoascus destructans. RNAcentral's name for it is "partial large subunit ribosomal RNA". The record is from RNAcentral. Lineage: Eukaryota; Fungi; Ascomycota; Leotiomycetes; Thelebolales; Thelebolaceae.
GGUGACCUCGAUCAGG